AGAGUUUGAUCAUGGCUCAGGAUAAACGCUGGCGGCGUGCCUUACACAUGCAAGUCGAGCGGAGAAAAUCUGCUGGGGCAACCCAGAAGGUUUUCUUAGCGGCAAACGGGUGAGUAAUGGAUGGGUUACCUACCCUGAAGAUGGGGAUAGCCUUCCGAAAGGAAGGGUAAUACCCAAUAAUGUCAGAGAAUUUUGGUUCUCUGAAGAAAGGUGGCGCAAGCUACCACUUCGGGAUGGGCUCGUCUCCUAUCAGCUAGUUGGUGAGGUAAUGGCUUACCAAGGCUAUGACGGGUAGCUGGUCUGAGAGGAUGGUCAGCCACACUGGGACUGCGACACGGCCCAGACUCCUACGGGAGGCAGCAGUGGGGAAUAUUGGUCAAUGGGCGAAAGCCUGAACCAGCGACGCCGCGUGGAGGAUGAAGGCCGCAAGGUCGUAAACUCCUUUUGCAAGGGAAAAAGGAAUGGAGGGCGAAUAGCUCUUCAUUCUUGAUUGUACCUUGGGAAUAAGCCCCAGCCAACUACGUGCCAGCAGCUGCGGUAAAACGUAGGGGGCAAGCGUUAUCCGGAUUUACUGGGUGUAAAGGGUACGUAAGCGGAUUUGCAAGUUGGGUAUAAAAACUUGAGGCUUAACCUCAAGCUUGUGCUCAAUACUGCAAGUCUGGAGAGCAGGAGAGGGAAGUGGAAUUCCCGGUGUAGCGGUAAAAUGCGUAGAUAUCGGGAGGAACACCAGUGGCGAAGGCGGCUUCCUGGCCUGUCUCUGACGCCCAUGUACGAAAGCUAGGGUAGCAAACAGGAUUAGAUACCCUGGUAGUCCUAGCCCUAAACGAUAGGUGCUUGGUGUUGGAGGGUUAUUCCUUCAGUGCCGUAGCUAACGCGUUAAGCACCUCACCUAGGGAGUACGGCCGCAAGGUUGAAACUCAAAGGAAUUGACGG
This 933-nucleotide ribosomal RNA is filed under the name uncultured bacterium. Its description in RNAcentral is "bacterial SSU rRNA". It matches the Rfam family "Bacterial small subunit ribosomal RNA", at positions 8 to 916 of the family's 1533-position model. The record is from RNAcentral.